This 461-nucleotide ribosomal RNA is filed under the name uncultured bacterium. RNAcentral's name for it is "partial 16S ribosomal RNA". It matches the Rfam family "Bacterial small subunit ribosomal RNA", at positions 338 to 795 of the family's 1533-position model. The record is from RNAcentral.
CCUACGGGGCGCAGCAGUGAGGAAUAUUGGUCAAUGGACGAGAGUCUGAACCAGCCAAGUAGCGUGAAGGAUGACUGCCCUUUGGGUUGUAAACUUCUUUUAUAAAGGAAUAAAACGAGGCACGUGUGCCUUUUUUGCAUGUACUUUAUGAAUAAGGAUCGGCUAACUCCGUGCCAGCAGCCGCGGUAAUACGGAGGAUCCGAGCGUUAUCCGGAUUUAUUGGGUUUAAAGGGAGCGUAGAUGGGUUGUUAAGUCAGUUGUGAAAGUUUGCGGCUCAACCGUAAAAUUGCAAUUGAUACUGGCAGUCUUGAGUACAGUUGAGGUAGGCGGAAUUCGUGGUGUAGCGGUGAAAUGCUUAGAUAUCACGAAGAACCCCGAUUGCGAAGGCAGCUUACUAAACUGUGACUGACAUUGAUGCUCGAAAGUGUGGGUAUCAAACAGGAUUAGAUACCCGAGUAGUC